AGGCAGCAGUGAGGAAUAUUGCACAAUGGGCGAAAGCCUGAUGCAGCAACGCCGCGUGAGGAGACGAAGGCCUUCGGGUCGUAAACCUCUUUUCUGGGGAAAGAGCAAGGACGGUACCUCAGGAAUAAGUCUCGGCUAACUACGUGCCAGCAGCCGCGGUAAAACGUAGGAGGCGAGCGUUAUCCGGAUUUACUGGGCGUAAAGCGCACGCAGGCGGCUUCGUUAGUCGGAUGUGAAAGCUCCUGGCUUAACUAGGAGAGGCCAUUCGAUACUGCGAGGCUUGAGGCAGGGAGAGGGGUGCGGAAUUCCCGGUGUAGUGGUGGAAUGCGUAGAUAUCGGGAGGAACACCUGUGGCGAAAGCGGCACCCUGGCCCUCGCCUGACGCUGAGGUUNUAAAGGGUGGGGAGUAAACAGGAUUAGAUACCCUGGUAAU
Molecule: ribosomal RNA, 433 nt
Filed under: uncultured bacterium
Lineage: Bacteria
Description: bacterial SSU rRNA
Rfam family: Bacterial small subunit ribosomal RNA
Source: RNAcentral